Molecule: ribosomal RNA, 344 nt
Filed under: Phacodinium metchnikoffi
Lineage: Eukaryota; Ciliophora; Heterotrichea; Heterotrichida
Description: SSU rRNA
Rfam family: Eukaryotic small subunit ribosomal RNA
Source: RNAcentral
AUAGCGUAUAUUAAAGUUGUUGCAGUUAAAAAGCUCGUAGUUGGAUUUCUGGGAGGGUGGUCUCGCUCCGCCUGCGGGCGUGAGUGAGAUUGCCCUCCCAUCCUUCUGUUAACGAUUCUUGGUAUUCAUUUACUGGUUUCGGGCUCAGAUAUUUUACCUUGAGAAAAUUAGAGUGUUUAAGGCAGGCUUGCGCCGGAAUACAUUAGCAUGGAAUAAUAGAAUAGGACUUUAGUCCCUUUUGUUGGUCUUCAGGGGCUGAAGUAAUGAUUAAUAGGGAUAGUUGGGGGCAUUAGUAUUUAAUUGUCAGAGGUGAAAUUCUCGGAUUUGUUAAAGACUAACAUAUG